This 609-nucleotide long non-coding RNA is filed under the name Taeniopygia guttata (zebra finch). RNAcentral's name for it is "lncRNA (ENSTGUG00000024607.1)". Lineage: Eukaryota; Metazoa; Chordata; Aves; Passeriformes; Estrildidae. The record is from RNAcentral.
GGCGAUUUUGGGGCUUUUGGGUGGAUUUUUGGUGUUUUUGGUGGGAUUUUUUUGGGGUUUUUUUUUGCUGUUGGGAUUUUUUUGGCUGUUUUCACCCCAAAACUGUGUCUGACCCCGAUUUCAGAGGCGGGGACCCCCGGGGAGGGGCGUUACUCCCACGUUUCGGGGGUCCUGGCCGGGCAGGUGCUGCUGGUGGCCGGCGGCUUCUCGGGGGUCCCGCGGGGCGACCUCCGAGCCUACAAAGUUCCUUCCUUCGUCCUGCAGCAGAGCGAGGAGCCGGAUCCCAACUGUGGAAGCUCAGGGACCCCCCCGGAGCAGUGCCCCCCCGGCCCCUGCCCGGGGCUCUCCCGCCUUUUGGGGGAUUUGAUGGAAUUUUGGGGGAUUUUAAUGGAAUUUUUGGGGGAAUUUUGGGUGGAUUGUGAUGAUAUUUUGGGAGGUAUUUUAAUGGAAUUUUGGGGUGACUUUGGGGUGAAUUUUGGGGUAAAACCCCCCAGUUUCUCCCCAGUGCCCCCCCGGACCCUGCCCGGGGCUGUCCCGCCUUUGGGGGAUUUGGGGCAUUUUGAUGGAAUUUUUGGGGGAUUUUUGAUGGAAUUUUGGGGUGGAUUUUGA